AAACUUUCAACAACGGAUCUCUUGGUUCUGGAUCGAUGAAGAACGCAGCGAACUGCGAGGAAGUAAUGUGAAUUGAGAAUUCAGUGAAUCAUCGAAUCUUUGAACGCACAUUGGCCCGCCAGUAUUCUGGGGGCAUGCCUGUCCGAGCGUCAUUUCAA
Molecule: ribosomal RNA, 158 nt
Filed under: Trichoderma sp. ZAUT027
Lineage: Eukaryota; Fungi; Ascomycota; Sordariomycetes; Hypocreales; Hypocreaceae
Description: 5.8S ribosomal RNA
Rfam family: 5.8S ribosomal RNA
About the family: 5.8S ribosomal RNA (5.8S rRNA) is a component of the large subunit of the eukaryotic ribosome. It is transcribed by RNA polymerase I as part of the 45S precursor that also contains 18S and 28S rRNA. Functionally, it is thought that 5.8S rRNA may be involved in ribosome translocation.
Source: RNAcentral